Molecule: ribosomal RNA, 524 nt
Filed under: Fusarium oxysporum
Lineage: Eukaryota; Fungi; Ascomycota; Sordariomycetes; Hypocreales; Nectriaceae
Description: eukaryotic LSU rRNA
Rfam family: 5.8S ribosomal RNA (bases 138-291)
Source: RNAcentral
CACUCAUCACCCUGUGACAUACCUAAAACGUUGCUUCGGCGGGAACAGACGGCCCUGUAACAACGGGCCGCCCCCGCCAGAGGACCCCUAACUCUGUUUUUAUAAUGUUUUUCUGAGUAAACAAGCAAAUAAAUUAAAACUUUCAACAACGGAUCUCUUGGCUCUGGCAUCGAUGAAGAACGCAGCGAAAUGCGAUAAGUAAUGUGAAUUGCAGAAUUCAGUGAAUCAUCGAAUCUUUGAACGCACAUUGCGCCCGCCAGUAUUCUGGCGGGCAUGCCUGUUCGAGCGUCAUUACAACCCUCAGGCCCCCGGGCCUGGCGUUGGGGAUCGGCAGAAGCCCCCUGUGGGCACACGCCGUCCCUCAAAUACAGUGGCGGUCCCGCCGCAGCUUCCAUUGCGUAGUAGCUAACACCUCGCAACUGGAGAGCGGCGCGGCCAUGCCGUAAAACACCCAACUUCUGAAUGUUGACCUCGAAUCAGGUAGGAAUACCCGCUGAACUUAAGCAUAUCAAUAAGCGGAGGAA